Molecule: long non-coding RNA, 434 nt
Filed under: Trifolium pratense (red clover)
Lineage: Eukaryota; Viridiplantae; Streptophyta; Magnoliopsida; Fabales; Fabaceae
Description: long non-coding RNA (TPRA_LNC003165)
Source: RNAcentral
AAUUGAUAUCGCAUACGUUUUUUAUUACGUUUUUUUAUUCUUAAGCUUGCUACUUUUUUUUUUCUUUUCAUUUUCCAAUUUCCAAUGGCACCAAAACACGAUGCAAUUUUUGAAAUCUCACCUGCUAAGGAGAAUUGGAACUUAAUCGUCAGAGUCGUCCUUCUUUGGUAUGUCAAAGAUAUGGCGAAAGGUAAACUGUCAUUCUCACCCUGCGUCAUUCCUUUCAAAGAAUUAUAGAUCAGAAAAUUUGGUCGGUAAGUAUCAAUUAAAUUAUAAAUAUAACUAUACAUUUUAUAUAAUAUUUAUUUAUAUGACAGAAUUUGCUUGUGUGUUUAAGAUGUAAUUGGGAUGUUCUCUAAAGUUGAAUUUGAAGACGACUAUUUCAUUGAGGGUGAAAUGAAAAAAGUUGUGUCAAUGGAAUUAGUCAAUAAUGG